Molecule: ribosomal RNA, 460 nt
Filed under: uncultured bacterium
Lineage: Bacteria
Description: partial 16S ribosomal RNA
Rfam family: Bacterial small subunit ribosomal RNA
Source: RNAcentral
CCUACGGGUGGCAGCAGUGAGGAAUAUUGGGCAAUGGACGAGAGUCUGAACCAGCCAAGUAGCGUGAAGGAUGACUGCCCUAUGGGUUGUAAACUUCUUUUAUAUGGGAAUAAAAUGUUCCACGUGUGGGAUUUUGUAUGUACCUUAUGAUUAAGGAUCGGCUAACUCCGUGCCAGCAGCCGCGGUAAUACGGAGGAUCCGAGCGUUAUCCGGAUUUAUUGGGUUUAAAGGGUGCGUAGGUGGAUUGUUAAGUCAGUUGUGAAAGUUUGCGGCUCAACCGUAAAAUUGCAGUUGAAACUGGCAGUCUUGAGUACAGUAGAGGUGGGCGGAAUUCGUGGUGUAGCGGUGAAAUGCUUAGAUAUCACGAAGAACUCCGAUUGCGAAGGCAGUUCACUGGACUGCAACUGACACUGAGGCUCGAAAGUGUGGGUAUCAAACAGGAUUAGAUACCCCAGUAGUC